This 275-nucleotide ribosomal RNA is filed under the name uncultured bacterium. RNAcentral describes it as "partial 16S ribosomal RNA". It matches the Rfam family "Bacterial small subunit ribosomal RNA", at positions 399 to 691 of the family's 1533-position model. The record is from RNAcentral.
GCGUGGAUGAAGAAGGUCUUCGGAUUGUAAAGUCCUUUCGGCGGGGACGAUGAUGACGGUACCCGCAGAAGAAGCCCCGGCUAACUUCGUGCCAGCAGCCGCGGUAAUACGAAGGGGGCUAGCGUUGCUCGGAAUUACUGGGCGUAAAGGGCGCGUAGGCGGAAAUCUCAGUCAGGCGUGAAAGCCCCGGGCUCAACCUGGGAAUUGCGCUUGAGACGGGGUUUCUUGAGGGCGAGAGAGGGUGGUGGAAUUCCCAGUGUAGAGGUGAAAUUCGU